AUGAUGAUCGCCGCCUCUCUUCCGCCUCAUUUUUGGGCCGAGGCUAUCUCCACUUCCGUCUAUCUCAUCAACCUUCAGCCAUCUGCUGCUUUGCAGGGUGGUGUUCCUUUUGAGCGUCUGUUUGAUCGUUCUCCCGAUUAUUCGAUGCUUCGCUUGUUUGGUUGUGUUUGCUAUGUUCUUCUUGCCCCUCGCGAACGCACCAAACUGACCGCUCAGUCUGUUGAGUGUGUCUUCUUAGGCUACAGUGAUGAGCAUAAGGGCUAUCGUUGUUGGGAUCCUGUCGGUCGUCGGAUGCGUAUCUCUCGAGACGUGACUUUUGAUGAGUCUCGUCCUUUUUAA
This 339-nucleotide ribosomal RNA is filed under the name Triticum aestivum (bread wheat). RNAcentral describes it as "partial small subunit ribosomal RNA". The record is from RNAcentral. Lineage: Eukaryota; Viridiplantae; Streptophyta; Magnoliopsida; Poales; Poaceae.